UGGGAAUAUUGCACAAUGGGCGAAAGCCUGAUGCAGCAACGCCGCGUGAGUGAUGAAGGUCUUCGGAUUGUAAAGCUCUGUCUUUUGGGACGAUAAUGACGGUACCAAAGGAGGAAGCCACGGCUAACUACGUGCCAGCAGCCGCGGUAAUACGUAGGUGGCGAGCGUUGUCCGGAUUUACUGGGCGUAAAGGGUGCGUAGGCGGAUGUUUAAGUGAGAUGUGAAAUACCCGGGCUUAACUUGGGUGCUGCAUUUCAAACUGGAUAUCUAGAGUGCAGGAGAGGAGAAUGGAAUUCCUAGUGUAGCGGUGAAAUGCGUAGAGAUUAGGAAGAACACCAGUGGCGAAGGCGAUUCUCUGGACUGUAACUGACGCUGAGGCACGAAAGCGUGGGUAGCAAACAGGAUUAGAUACCCUGGUAGUCCACGCCGUAAACGAUGAGUACUAGGUGUAGGAGGUAUCGACCCCUUCUGUGCCGCAGUAAACACAUUAAGUACUCCGCCUGGGAAGUACGAUCGCAAGA
RNAcentral lists this ribosomal RNA (521 nucleotides) under uncultured bacterium. RNAcentral describes it as "partial 16S ribosomal RNA". It matches the Rfam family "Bacterial small subunit ribosomal RNA", at positions 356 to 893 of the family's 1533-position model. The record is from RNAcentral.